Paramuricea clavata is the source of this 66-nucleotide non-coding RNA. The record is from the annotation of a GenBank genome assembly. NCBI's taxonomy places the organism in Eukaryota, Metazoa, Cnidaria, Anthozoa, Malacalcyonacea, Plexauridae.
CCUGCUCACAGACGUUGUAGUUCUUACGCCAAGCGACGAAAUAAAACUACAACGUCUGUGAGCAGG